UAUGGGUUUCAUGAUUUUAUCCAACAUUUGAUGCUAAAAGAAAUAGGACAAAGUGUUUCUAAUAAAUAUAACAUUGUGCCCAACAUCUGAUUUUCUUGUUUAGAAUUCAAGAUACUAAAGCUUUCACCAAUUAGAGUUGUUAAAAUGGCAGGAACUUCCAGUCAUUAAAGGGGUUCUUUCUUUUGAUUCCUCAAACCAAUAUGGUUGCCGUCUUGCUCGUACACACUAAAAUUUAACUGUGAAGAAAGAAAAAACUGCACAUGGCAAGACUCUGUUCCUGGAAAUCUCAUUUACUUGUGUUCAGCGUCUACAUGCACAAAACUACUGCCGAGAAUCUAGUUCUUUCUUUUUCAAAAUCCAUAUUGUCGAACACUUCGGAAAAGCCUUCAACUUUCCAAACAAUGCCCAUUGAAAUCCUUGACCACCUUGAACCAUCAAUCCCAACCUGAAAUAUUCCAUAAGUUGUAUAAAAAGUCCAAUUUAUUUCAUAAGAUGUCAAUCACUAACAAACAGC
This 514-nucleotide long non-coding RNA is filed under the name Olea europaea subsp. europaea. Lineage: Eukaryota; Viridiplantae; Streptophyta; Magnoliopsida; Lamiales; Oleaceae. The record is from RNAcentral.